This is a non-coding RNA of Caenorhabditis elegans, 21 nucleotides long. The record is from Ensembl. NCBI's taxonomy places the organism in Eukaryota, Metazoa, Nematoda, Chromadorea, Rhabditida, Rhabditidae.
UUGCUUUUGUAGAACUGACUU